Non-coding RNA from Acanthosepion pharaonis, 105 nucleotides. NCBI's taxonomy places the organism in Eukaryota, Metazoa, Mollusca, Cephalopoda, Sepiida, Sepiidae. The record is from the annotation of a GenBank genome assembly.
UAGUCGCACUGAACAACCGGUUCUCGCACGAUCACUGAAGUUAAGCAAUAUCGAUCCUGGUCAGUACCUAGAUGGGUGACUGCUUCGGAAUACCAGAUGCUGGAA